Molecule: non-coding RNA, 1210 nt
Organism: Delphinapterus leucas (beluga whale)
Lineage: Eukaryota; Metazoa; Chordata; Mammalia; Artiodactyla; Monodontidae
Source: RefSeq, a predicted model, not a curated record
AUGGAAGCGGAGGACGCAGGCAUCUAUUCCCUCCAGCAAGCGCAAGCUUUUUAUACGUUUCCAUUCCAACAAAAGAUCACUGAAGUUCCUAGUAUGGCACUUAUGAAUGAACAAGAAAUGCCAGCAGAAGUUCCAGCCCCAGCUCCUGCUCAGGAACCCACACAAGAGACUCCAAAAGGAAAACCCAAAACAACAGAACCAAAAACUCCAGUGGAACCCAAAAAACCUGCUGAGGCCAAAAAAUCUGGCAAGUCCACAAAAUCAAAAGAAAAGCAAGAAAAAAUUACAGACACAUUUAAAGUGAAAAGUAGACCAGUUCAAUAGUGUUUCAGAAGCUGAACUUUUGACCAAGACUCUACCAGACAUUUUGACCUUCAAUCUGGACAUUGUGAUUAUUGGCAUAAACCCAGGACUAAUGGCUGCUUACAAAGGGCAUCAUUACCCUGGACAUGGAAACCAUUUUUGGAAGUGGCUGUUUAUGUCAGGGCUGAGUGAGGUCCAACUGAAUCACAUGGAUGAUCACACUUUACCAGGGAAAUAGGGUAUUGGAUUUACCAAUAUGGUGGCAAGGAUAACACCAGGCAGCAAGGACCUUUCCGGUAAAGAAUUUUGUGAAGGAGGACGUAUUCUAGUGCAGAAAUUACAGAAAUAUCAGCCACGAAUAGCAGUGUUUAAUGGAAACUGUAUUUAUGAAAUUUUUAGUAAGGAAGUUUUUGGAGUAAAAGUUAAGAACUUAGAAUUAGGACUUCAACUGCAUAAGAUCCCAGACACAGAAACUCUCUGCUAUGCUAUGCCAUCAUCCAGUGCAAGAUGUGCUCAGUUUCCUCGAGCCCAGGACAAAGUUCAUUACUACGUUAAGCUGAAGGACUUAAGAGAUCAGUUGAAAGUCAGUGAGCGAAACACAGACAUUCAAGAGGUGCAAUAUACAUUUGACCUGCGGCUAGCCCAAGAGGAUGCAAAGAAGAUGGCUGUGAAGGAAGAAAAAUAUGAUCUGGGUUAUGAAGCAGCAUGCGGUGGUGCUUAUAGUGAAAAUCCAUGCAGUAGUGAACCUUGCAGCUUCUCUUCAAAUGGGCUGACAGCUGACAGUGGAGAAUCAACUUUCAGUGACAUUCCAGAAGGGCAGUGGAUGACCCAGUCAUUUACAGACCAGAUUCCUUCCUUUAAUAAUCACUGUGCGAUGCAAGAACAGGAAGAAGGAAACCAUGCUUAA